Molecule: unclassified non-coding RNA, 118 nt
Filed under: uncultured Agaricales
Lineage: Eukaryota; Fungi; Basidiomycota; Agaricomycetes; Agaricales
Description: sequence contains ITS1
Source: RNAcentral
CAGAAUAUACCUUAUUCUCUCCCUGUGCAUACCAAACCUCUGUUGCCUCGGCGCGCUGCUGCGCCAGAGGACCCAAACGCUGAAAUUAUACUGUCUGAGGCACUAUGCAAAAUAGUCA